Molecule: long non-coding RNA, 3002 nt
Organism: Oreochromis niloticus (Nile tilapia)
Lineage: Eukaryota; Metazoa; Chordata; Actinopteri; Cichliformes; Cichlidae
Exons: 4
Source: RefSeq, a predicted model, not a curated record
UUAAAAGCACUUUAUGUUUUGUAGAUGUAUUUUUUUUCAGACAGGGCACACACAGUCCUGUUUCCUUUGUGGCAAAAGCUUCAAACGUCACCAUCCUCAGCUGAAACAGCAACAUCUUAACACCAUCUUCAUGAACUGCUGAUCCAAACCUGAUCCAUCAGUGCUGGACUGCACAGAUAACUACAUGCCACAAGGAGACUGCUGUUUUAUGAACUGCCAUAUCAGUGUGACAUCAGUGGAGAAGAUCACAUCACCUGACCUCCUGCCUAAUCUAGAGACCAUCACUAUGCUGCCACAGUCCACACCUCUGAAACCAUCAAGGAUGACUCAUACUGAGGAAACUGUACUUUCUGUCAGAGUCCAGUGAUCUUCAGAGCAGAGAGAGGUAUUGCUGUCUUCUGAGUUUUUCAGUUUCCAAACUGAGACAUUCAAACCUUUUUGCAGAGCUCAUGUCACACUCACAUGUGAGAUUGCUCUGGAUUCUGGUUAUGUCGCCUGCAGCACCUAUAAGAACAAGCUCGUACAGUGUGCCUGCAUUCCAGCUUCUUAGACUUUACACAAGUGGACAGAGUAUCAGUGUUUGGCCACUCUUACAGACACCGACUUCUGUCAACUCACUGCUACUAAUCAGGCACCUCACUCCAGGAAGACAGAGGGCUGCAAGCCUGUCAUCGUUUCCAGUGUGACUUUGCAUUCUUGGAGUAGCAUCAGAUUUUUCCCACAAAUAUUCAAAGCUUUAGAUGCAGUGAUCGGAUAUGCUGGAGCUUUGUUAACAGUGUGGAAAACGUGUUUGUGAUGGUAUUUAAAAUGAGGCUUUAAGGUGACAGUUUCCAUGUAAUUUCAGUCCUUUUACUAAACAAAAACAUCUUUUUCAUAACAUAUUUUUUAUUUUUUUUUAGCAGCACAUCAUUGGUCAAAGGUAAAAAGAGUCACAUGUCACACCAACAAUGAAUUUUUGACUCUAUUUGUGUCACCAGAUUUAACAAACAAUAUCAGUAUCAAAUCAUAUGAUAUCAUAUGAUAUAUCAUAUGAAACUGAACUUUGGAUUAAUGUGCAAAUAUAUUAUUUUGUAUUUUCGAUUGUUGAAUAAUUAUGUUGUAGAAAAACCCCAAUCUAUUUACCCAAACAACGCAACUUGUUUGGGUAAAUAGUGGAAUAGUGUAAUUUUAGUCUGUAAGUAUAGCAACCUGAAUUCAUACAAACACACAGCUCUAAAUCUUGAAUUGUUGGAUGCACAAUAAUGAUCAUUUGGUUAUUAUGGACAUUUAAAUCAGAAUCUAUUGAACCAUUACAUAUAUUCUUUAUAAAGAUUACACAACCUCAAAAUGCAAAAAAAGAAAGUGUUUUAGAGGAUAAAUAAAGAAAGCUCAAAGUGUGUUUGUAUGAAUACUGCCUUAGUAUGGGGUGUCAGUAAGUACAUGAGUAUGGAAUAGGUGUAACAGUGGUUUUCCACAUCUGUGCUUAGACUGCUCUAAUAUGUAUAGAUAAUGGGUCAGACAUAUCGUUUGACCCAUUAAGUCUGUUUGAAAAGUUCAUGAAGGUCUCAUCCAGUGCUAUGUGUUUCUGUUUAUCAUUUUAUAUGAGGUCACACAGCUGACUUGAGUUUUGAUCAGAGUAGAAUCAUAACAUACAAUAUUCUUGCCAAAACAGGUGCACCCCUGUUUUGGAAAUAUUCUUUAUUUCAUUCCUGUUUCUUUAAAUAUGUGCAUCAAUUGUUCAGCUGUGUGACUCUCCAUACCUGAAAUAUAUCCCAAUGUGGGCUUUAUUUCAACAGUAUUUUGUAGUUUGGUACCAUAUUUAUUAUCAAAUCAAAAAGCUGUAACUGAAAAAAAAGAAGCUCUUGAAAGUUACAUGUGCUAUAUGUAGCUGUAGCUCAGGUGUCAGAGCAGGUCAGCUACUAAUUGGAAGGUUGGUGUUUCGAUCUCAGUCUGCUCCAGUCUGGAGCAUGCCAAAUAUCCUUGGGUAAGAUACUAACCCCAUGUUGCCCUUUGAUGCAUCCAUUGGAGUGUGAAUGUGUAUGAAUGUCAGAUAGUGAGCACUUAAAAGCUUAGAAAAGGUGCUUGUGUGAUUGGUUGAAUGAAUUAGUUGUAUAAAGUGCUUUGAGUGCUCAGAUAGAGUAGAAAAGCAUGUUGUUUAUCCUUGACAUACGGUGUGUGCACAAAACUCCAGCAAAUUAGAGAAUAUAUUUUGUCUUUCACUUCCUGCUUUUAUAUGUGUAUAUUUUUGCAGUUAAUAGCCUAUCAUGUGGCUUCCUAUCUUAAGGACAUAAACAUAAACAUGGCAAACAAAGAUAUUUACAAUUCUAACAGAUGCUUCAAUUGUUUGUAUAGAUUUUAGAUUCAUUUGAUUUGCAUUUUCUAAUAAUAUUUUUCUGAUUGUCCCAAAUGGUAUUUUUAUUUCUGUAUGCCAUUAUUGUAAUCUUUGAUCUUAUGUUUGCAAAAAUAUUCAAAUGUUUUACUUUUCUACUACUGUGUUUCUACUUUCUAAACUUUCUGCCACUCUUUGGAAUUUCAAUAACAAUUACAAUAACAAUAAUUUUUGUUUGUUUGUUUUAUCUCUGACCGCAGUAUCUUGUGCAUUUAUUACCUAAAUGUUGUUUGUGUGUUUUUGUUUUCUUGUUUUUUUUUGUUUUGUUUUGCCAUUUUUACAUUUCAACAGCUGUACAAACUCUGCAAUUUUACCUUGGUUUUGUUCCACAUUUGUUUAUCUGCUGGUUGUUGUUUUUUUUUCCUUUUCUAAUGUUUCUGGUAAUUUUUCACAGUUGAACAACAAGUAGCUUUGAGUUUACUUCAGUGUUUUUAGCUAUUUUCUGCUGACAGUUUGGCUUAAUUAUUACAUAUCUGCAAAAUUAUAGCACUUCUGCUAAGUUGUAAUAUUUCUGCCAAGUUAUUAAUUUUCUGCUAAAUUAUAUUAUUUCUGCUAGUUACACUACUUCUGCUAAGUUAUGUUUUGCUAAAUUAUUAGAUUUCUGCUGAGUCUUACCUUCUGGUAAACUACAAUA